Saccostrea cuccullata (small rock oyster) is the source of this 844-nucleotide long non-coding RNA. RefSeq lists it as uncharacterized. The transcript has 3 exons. The record is from RefSeq and is a predicted model, not a curated record. Lineage: Eukaryota; Metazoa; Mollusca; Bivalvia; Ostreida; Ostreidae.
UGUACAAUUUGAUCGGGAUCGGAAGAAUGUUUCAAAAAGUCGGGCUCAGUGAUCAAUUAAUUUAAACAACAGACCGCCAAAAUUUAACCUUGGCCUCCAUGUUGCAACGUCUGCUCUGCCUAAAGGAAGAAGUUUGUUGACCAGACAGCCUGAGAUCGUAUUGCUGUAUCAACCAAAAGAUGCAGAUACACGUAUUUCAUAUGCGCGUCUGUGCAUGAGGAGGAGAUUUCUGAAAAAGAAUAAGUGCUUAUUCAACUUACUGCGAUAUUAACGGGCUUAAAGCUUGGUCCAUGGAUGGUUAUGUUUGAGGAUUUGCCAAUUCGACCGCAAGUGCUGCUGCAAGAAAUUAAACAUGCAGAGACCUUACAAAUUACAAAGACGUCUGAAGAAAAUUUUUAUUGGACAGAUGGGUGUAAAGCACAGACCUGAGAUAUAAAUUGAAUUGUGAGAAAUAUGAAUCAGGGAUGCAGGUAGAAAAUGGCAAAUGUGAUCCAGAUUGAUAAAAAAAUGUCUAAAAUUUUUUCUUGUUUUGUAAAUAUUCAAUGCUAUGUCAAUUGUUAUUUUUUCCCCAAUACCUAAUAGUGUUGAACAUUUCACUCCCACUUUUGCUUAAAUAUAAUGAAUAAAUUUCCAUUUAUUUAAUAUGAAUAUUAAAAAAUGCCACAUUUUUUCCAUGAUGAACUUGUGGCUCAAAUAAGAGUUCCAGUUUUUUUUCCAUACAUGCUCCUAUUUGUUUGUCAAAGAUAUAAGAUCCAAUACAUUGCUCAUGAACAUAAUGUGUAAUUUUGUUCAUUCAUUUAUAUGUUUUUUUCUCAUAAUGAUAUAAUAAAUUGUAUAUAAUUUU